CCCCUCCCAUCCAGGACAAAAGAAUUUAACCACUAUUGCGUUUUAUUAUAUGCUUUUAUACUCGUACAUAUUGUAUAAGUACAAUAUUAUAGUUUUUAUAUUUUGUCAUAUUUGUCUUCGUUACAGAAAAACAGAAAAUAUACUAAUUUAUGAAAUCUUUAUACAGAGGUGCGGAAUACAUUUUUAGAAAACUAUUUACAAACGUCCAAGUACCUUAAUAUUACAAACGUUUUAAAUAACAUUAAAAUUUGUCUCACUAGAUUGAGAAAUGCGUAU
This is a non-coding RNA of Cinara cedri, 276 nucleotides long. The record is from the annotation of a GenBank genome assembly. Lineage: Eukaryota; Metazoa; Arthropoda; Insecta; Hemiptera; Aphididae.